UACGUAGGUGGCAAGCGUUGUCCGGAUUUACUGGGCGUAAAGAGCGCGCAGGCGGUCGUUCAAGUCGCGUGUGAAAGCCCCCGGCUCAACUGGGGAGGGUCACGCGAUACUGAUCGACUUGAAGGCAGGAGAGGGUAGUGGAAUUCCCGGUGUAGUGGUGAAAUGCGUAGAUAUCGGGAGGAACACCAGUGGCGAAGGCGACUACCUGGCCUGUUCUUGACGCUGAGGCGCGAAAGCUAGGGGAGCAAACGGG
RNAcentral lists this ribosomal RNA (253 nucleotides) under uncultured bacterium. RNAcentral's name for it is "partial 16S ribosomal RNA". It matches the Rfam family "Bacterial small subunit ribosomal RNA", at positions 524 to 776 of the family's 1533-position model. The record is from RNAcentral.